AUGUACCACGCGUACACUGCGGUUCCUGCGCGCCGUCCGUACCCACCUGGCGACUGCUCGCUACGUUUUGUUAGCC
RNAcentral lists this small RNA (76 nucleotides) under Xanthomonas fragariae. RNAcentral describes it as "sX9 sRNA". It matches the Rfam family "Xanthomonas sRNA sX9". The record is from RNAcentral. Lineage: Bacteria; Pseudomonadati; Pseudomonadota; Gammaproteobacteria; Lysobacterales; Lysobacteraceae.